GACGAACGCUGGCGGCGUGCUUAACACAUGCAAGUCGAACGGAAAGGCCCUGCUUUUGUGGGGUGCUCGAGUGGCGAAAGGGUGAGUAACACGUGAGUAACCUGCCCUUGCCUUUGGGAUAACUUCAGGAAACUGGGGCUAAUACCGGAUAGGAGCUCCUGCUGCAUGGUGGGGGUUGGAAAGUUUCGGCGGUUGGGGAUGGACUCGCGGCUUAUCAGCUUGUUGGUGGGGUAGUGGCUUACCAAGGCUUUGACGGGUAGCCGGCCUGAGAGGGUGACCGGCCACAUUGGGACUGAGAUACGGCCCAGACUCCUACGGGAGGCAGCAGUGGGGAAUAUUGCACAAUGGGCGGAAGCCUGAUGCAGCAACGCCGCGUGCGGGAUGACGGCCUUCGGGUUGUAAACCGCUUUCGCCUGUGACGAAGCGUGAGUGACGGUAAUGGGUAAAGAAGCACCGGCUAACUACGUG
Molecule: ribosomal RNA, 468 nt
Filed under: uncultured bacterium
Lineage: Bacteria
Description: partial 16S ribosomal RNA
Rfam family: Bacterial small subunit ribosomal RNA
Source: RNAcentral